This 214-nucleotide long non-coding RNA is filed under the name Musa acuminata (dwarf banana). RNAcentral describes it as "long non-coding RNA (MACU_LNC009560)". The record is from RNAcentral. Lineage: Eukaryota; Viridiplantae; Streptophyta; Magnoliopsida; Zingiberales; Musaceae.
GGGUCUGGACGGACGGCGCGACAUCCGCGACUUAUGCCCGAGGUGCUCUCAUUCCAGACAUCGCCAGGCAGAUGUAUGGCUCACCUUCCGAGGUGCUGAUCGAGAAGGCUGCCAAGUCCCUGGUCUGGGUAUGACAGUAGUUCUCUCUCUUUGCUUCGGCCCUUGUCUGACCUCCUUUUCUUAUGCUAGGUCGUUUUUCUACACAGAACCUGCA